This 76-nucleotide transfer RNA is filed under the name Thermotomaculum hydrothermale. RNAcentral describes it as "tRNA-Thr". It matches the Rfam family "tRNA". Rfam says of the family: Transfer RNA (tRNA) molecules are approximately 80 nucleotides in length. Their secondary structure includes four short double-helical elements and three loops (D, anti-codon, and T loops). Further hydrogen bonds mediate the characteristic L-shaped molecular structure. tRNAs have two regions of fundamental functional importance: the anti-codon, which is responsible for specific mRNA codon recognition, and the 3' end, to which the tRNAs corresponding amino acid is attached (by aminoacyl-tRNA synthetases). tRNAs cope with the degeneracy of the genetic code in two manners: having more than one tRNA (with a specific anti-codon) for a particular amino acid; and 'wobble' base-pairing, i.e. permitting non-standard base-pairing at the 3rd anti-codon position. Lineage: Bacteria; Pseudomonadati; Acidobacteriota; Holophagae; Thermotomaculales; Thermotomaculaceae. The record is from RNAcentral.
GCCGGCGUAGCUCAACUGGUAGAGCAACUGACUUGUAAUCAGUAGGUUGGGGGUUCAAGUCCCUUCGCCGGCUCCA